GGCCCGUUGGUCAAGCGGCUAAGACGGCGGCCAGUAGAGCAACUGACUCUUAAUCAGUGGGUCCACGGUUCGAGCCCGUGAUGGUGUACCA
RNAcentral lists this transfer RNA (91 nucleotides) under Butyricicoccus sp. OM04-18BH. RNAcentral's name for it is "tRNA-Lys". Lineage: Bacteria; Bacillati; Bacillota; Clostridia; Eubacteriales; Butyricicoccaceae. The record is from RNAcentral.